This is a long non-coding RNA of Cucurbita maxima (winter squash), 263 nucleotides long. RefSeq lists it as uncharacterized. The transcript is spliced from 2 exons. NCBI's taxonomy places the organism in Eukaryota, Viridiplantae, Streptophyta, Magnoliopsida, Cucurbitales, Cucurbitaceae. The record is from RefSeq and is a predicted model, not a curated record.
CCACCACAACUCAUCACUCAAUAUCGGUUUGGUGAUAUUAACAUUUUUUUUUUAUUGUUUUUCUAUUCUAUUUGAGUCAGAUUCUUGAAGAGCCCAGAUUUGAUACUUCAACCUUGCUCAAGUAAUACUUCAAGGAAUGGUGUAGCAACAUUGAUUCCACCAUCCAGAUGCAGCUUCUUGGGAAGGCAACUCAAAUGUUGAAUCAGUAAGAAACAGUCAACUUUCAUUUAUACUAGUUACUAAACUUUGUGGUAUAAAUAUUG